CCACUCUCCCUCUCUCUAUCUUCUUUGCUCUUAGUACUGUUUCAGCCUUCCACAUUGUCCUUUGCACCAAUAAAGGAUGACCACGCAUUCUGCCGCGGGAGGAAGGUUUCGCCGCUCGUCCUCGCUCUCACCACGGCCCAUUCCCGUGCUUCAUAGCCCCCUCUCGCUUUGACGCUCGACGAAUCGAGGUCCUUCUCUUUCACCGUCUCCCGCCGUGGUCGCUCAUGUCUUCUGUUGAAACUUUUCCUUCUUCACUUGGAUCGAGACACUUGGACGGAGAAUGUGCUCGUUUCGGUAACUUCUGAUCUUUCUCCGGGGCUACACUUCUGUUUCGGCCAUGUGUUUCUUCUUCACUUUCAGCAGUUACUUGUCGAGUGUGGCGUGGACUGGAGUCCCACUUUCGACCUUCUGCUUCGAGACUCGUGUUUCCUCAUUUUGUUAUGUUAAGAGUGAGGAAGGAAUGAUCCUCUGCCAUUACAUUAGUAGCUGUGAACAUUUUUGAUAGCUCUUGUUUCGGUGUCGGGUUUCCAUUGCCAUUUCCAUGCGAUGAUUCUGUAUUGGCUUUGAGUAACGGUUGAUAACUUAAGCAGGAAAAGCUUUGAUGGUCAAGGCAUAGUUGUGUUUGCUUGACGGGGACGAUGCGCACGAUGACGAUUCUGUUCUUGGCGUGGAGUGUUCUACGACAACGUUAGCCUCCUCUCCGUCAUGUCUUUAUAUUCUGAUAAGUCUACUAUGGUUAUGGUUUCGUUGCAGAAAGAAUCUGUCUCUAGGAGGCGAAGUUUCUUCCUCGUGAUUAUUCUUGCAUGAAACCUCUUUCUUCCUCAUGAUUAUUCUUCCUAUUGUCAUCUCAUGUGUCAUGCUCAUUAAUGGAAUUGCCUUUUGAAUUGCAAGGAUCCGUCUGAUAAUUUGCUCUAUGGAGACAUUCCAUACUCCAUCUCUAAGCAUUAGCAACUCGAGUUUCUAAAUUUGAACAACAAUCAGUUGACUGGUCCCAUUCCCUCUACCCUCACACAAAUUCCUAACCUAAAAACACUGUCAAGUUCGAUUUGUACUGCAUUUGUAUAAUGCGCGGGCUAUAUCUUUUGCAACUGGUCUCUCUAGUUCAUCAGUAUAUAUUUUGAUUCUGUACCUCAGAGACCUUGCUCGGAACCAACUUACAGGGCAGAUGCCAAGGCUAAAGCAAUAUCUGAAGUCACAUGGAAAGUUUUUAAGUAGGACACGGUCCUGAUAUGUGUCAACUGACUGGUCUUUGGUAUUUUGAUGCAUGGGGCAACAACUUAACUGACACCAUUCCAGAUAACAUCGAUAACUGUACUAGUUUUGAGAUCUUGGAUAUUUCAUAAAAUCAGAUGACUGGGGAGAUCCCGUACAAUGUUGGCUUUCUGCAAGUCUCCACCCUGAGUGAUAGAAUGUUCCAACAAACUUCAUCUUUUCUAUUGGUGGGGUUAUUAAUUCCAUGUCCUUCUAGCAGAGAUCUGAGUGAAAAUGAGUUAGUUGGACCAAUUCCCCCAAUUCUUGGAAACCUGUCCUAUACUGGAAAUUUGUAUCUCCAUGGGAACAAGCUUACUGGAACAGUUCCUCCAGAACUUGGAAAUAUGUCAAAACUCAGUUACUCAUGGAUUGAAGGAGAGGUUUUCUGAUGACAUAUCGAUAUGUAAAGCUGGAGAUGAGUUUCAUAUGCGAAAAUGUGUCAAAAGGAAGCAAUUAUUGCAGUUUGAUAAGAGUUAUAGGCUUGCAUUUUACGGUAUAUGACCUGCAAAAAGGCGGGUCGAUAUCGAUUUGUUCUGGACCAGCACAUCAAAUUGUCAUAAGAUGAUCCAGAGGAAUAAUGGAUGUGACAGUUUCCAAGGCAGUCUAUCUACCAAAGUUGUGUAAAUGGGACCAGCAGUUAAAAAACUACAAAUCCGACUUGUCCGUCCUCAAAUGGGUGUGAAUAGAAUAUUAUGAAGAGAGAGUAUGGAAGUCUUACUAUCAAAAAAGAAUUAGAGGUUAUUUUGACAAGAAGAGUGCCCACCAGGAGACUCCUCGUCCUAUCUUGUCCCUAUGUUUGUAUGAUACCAUUACCGUUUCUCUUUAAUAUCAUAUGAUGGAGAAUAAUAUUUACUCAUUCAA
Syzygium oleosum is the source of this 2112-nucleotide long non-coding RNA. RefSeq lists it as uncharacterized. The transcript has 9 exons. The record is from RefSeq and is a predicted model, not a curated record. Lineage: Eukaryota; Viridiplantae; Streptophyta; Magnoliopsida; Myrtales; Myrtaceae.